UACGAAGGGGGCUAGCGUUGCUCGGAAUCACUGGGCGUAAAGGGUGCGUAGGCGGGUCUUUAAGUCAGGGGUGAAAUCCUGGAGCUCAACUCCAGAACUGCCUUUGAUACUGAGGAUCUUGAGUUCGGGAGAGGUGAGUGGAACUGCGAGUGUAGAGGUGAAAUUCGUAGAUAUCGCAAGAACACCAGUGGCGAAGGCGGCUCACUGGCCCGAUACUGACGCUGAGG
This 227-nucleotide ribosomal RNA is filed under the name uncultured bacterium. RNAcentral describes it as "partial 16S ribosomal RNA". It matches the Rfam family "Bacterial small subunit ribosomal RNA", at positions 524 to 751 of the family's 1533-position model. The record is from RNAcentral.